GGUGACUGACUCAGUGGUAGAGCACUUGCUUUGCAUGCAUGAGGCCCUGGGUUCAAUUCCUCAGCACCA
This 69-nucleotide transfer RNA is filed under the name Dipodomys ordii (Ord's kangaroo rat). It matches the Rfam family "tRNA". From Rfam's summary of the family: Transfer RNA (tRNA) molecules are approximately 80 nucleotides in length. The record is from Rfam by way of RNAcentral. Lineage: Eukaryota; Metazoa; Chordata; Mammalia; Rodentia; Heteromyidae.